CAGCUUGUAUGGGAGGGUGGCUUCUUGCAUGCCGCAGCAUACAAGAAGCCCUUGUGACAGUCCUACAGCUCUUCUGGAGCUGCCUGCUGUAGGGACGCUGCUUUUGUAAUGUCUGCCUUUUGGGUACGGGAGAGCUUAUUUCUGUGAGAAGCAGAGCCCUUUUCUUGCCCACUGAGUCUUUAAACCAAGCAGCAUGAACCCUAAGCGAUGCAGCAUGACUUCCAGGUUCCGUGAUACGCAUGGGUGAUUUUGCCAGCAUUGUUCAUAUGCAGUGGGCAGAGAAGCAGGGGAACUUCACAUGCAGCAGUUCCCCUCUGAAUUGUCCCACGAAUGCCGUCCCACCGGACCACCCCGAUGCAGAAUACAGCAGCCGUUCAUUCACGCAGAACAGAGAUCCGGGGCUGGCCAUAGGAAGCAAAAGCCCUAAAGCACACUGCAGUAUCCUUGUUCUCCCUUCACAAAGCUGCUCUGUGUUAAACUAUGGUAUCGACCCACACUGGCGCAAAAAUGCCUUUCGUCAGGGGUUUGCAUGCUGUGUUAUAUGAGGCUUCAGUUAAAAACAAACUGGCAGAACCUGAUGUGGUGAUUUACUGUUUAAUGGUAUCGGAAGUGAGUUUUGAUCGGGGAAGAAAUGGGAGGACCGUGCCCCGCUGCAGUGUCAGAGGGAGCAGGAUGCUUGGGUGCCAUGGUUGUCUCAUGGUGGCUGCAGAGGGGAUGGGGUAUUCCAAAAUCUUGGUCUGAUAUGUGGCUCUCCCAGAAUGCAGCCCACAGAUGCUUAUACGUUUAAUAAGGUGCUAAAGCAGAACUUGAAAUGUUCAUUCACAGUCUCCUGUUCUGGAUCAUUUCUUUGACCAUCUGGUGUUGAUUUUUUUUUUUUUUUUCUUAAAGAUGCUUUGCAUCCUGUGCAUUACUUUCUGUUUACCCUUUGGGCCCCAGCCUGGCAGAGUGCCUGGGAAUGUGCCUGAUGUUCUGUCCCUUCCCAGCUCAACAAAACACUGAAGAUGGUGUGUAACGAUAAGCUGACUUCUUCCCGCUCCCACCUCAUCCUACCACCUGCUAGGGGAGCCUUUGGGUGGAGGCUGGGAGAAGGCUGGGAGAGUUUGUACAAACAGCAUUUUUCUUCCCAAGGAGGUUUUUAGCACUUGUUUUUGUGGCUCGCUCAGAUUUGCAUGCUUGAAUACUGAUAGCAGCUGGGCAUCGAAGUGGUAGAAGAGAGAAUUGUUCAAUGGGAAAAAAAAGUCCAUUCAUGGGUUCAAGCAGAGUUACACUGACACUGAAAGCUGAAAGACUUUCCAUCUGAACCUCCUUUUCCCCCACAUGUUAGUGCUACCACUAAAAUGCAGUAAUGUUUUGCACUAUGAUGAUUCAGUUUGUUUGCUUAGCUGGAGGAAAAGGGAAAACUCUCCCAUAACUCUCCCCUUUUUGCAGUGACCGGAGUGAAAGGGCACAUUUAAACGUGAGGAAGAGCUGGCAGCUGCUGAGGAAAUCUGCUGGAAGGCAAGACCCAGGGAACUGCAGUGAGGGGACACUGGAGGUUUUUAGUAUGACUGUGUAUGCAGGCAUGGGAAAAAGAGAGUGGUGUCGGAGGAAAUCACCUCAGUGUCAUUCCCCAGGCAGUCGGGGUGGCGAAAGGAGGCUGUGACCAGGCCUGAAUGGACCCAUUCUUCUUGGCCAAGUACUACUACUUAAGGUUUCAAUCUCUUCCGAUGCACCAAGGGUCUGAACCUAUCUCUCACAUCAGGAGCACACGCAGAUGUGAGAAAAGGCAUGUAACAAGGAGCCACUAAUGGAGAAGAUUCUGUGAAAUUGAUUUCUUCAGUACAACUGGGCUGCUUUCUGACCAUUCCAGCGGUGCAAUCAGACAAGCAACAGCACUGAUAGUGGGGAAGAGAAAAGUGUACGAGCCCAUCUAACUCCAGGCUGAAGCUGCUGUGUGAGAAGGAAUCCAGUUACAAAGACCUCAACAGCAGCCAUGCCUGGAUGCUGUGGGAGAAUGCUCUUGGUCAUUUCUCAUCCCUUCUUCCUAUGGGAUACUUGAAAACACGAGAGAAGCUGGCCUGAAAGACGAGCGUGGAGGAGGCGAAGGACCUCUGCAUCCAGGAUGUGCUGCUGCAGUGUGCAAUUGCACAAACCAAGCUGUUGUGUAUUCAGAGUUGCAUCUGCCUGCCCAAAUGACAAAAAUGAAGUAUUUGCUGCUUUCCACUUUAAACCUUUUGGAGCCAGUAAUACUCAUCCUCCUCAUGCACCAAGGUAUCCACAUGUGCCACUCACCAGCCUGGGACUUCUUCACCAAGCAAUGUCUGAGCAAAUCUCCUAACAACAGAGCAACUGCUCGCAGAUUAUUGUGAUCAUAAUUUGGCUGACAUAGCCUUUAUUACUAAUGGUGAUGCUGGAGAUGGAAAACCCAGCUUGAUUCUCAGAUCCCUGCUGGAAAGUAAUAAAAUAAAGAGGAACAAAAUCCAUGAGUGUAUUUGCUACCAAACCUUUGAAAAACACAAAAAUGGAACCCUGCCAAUACUGUUGCUGGCAAUUUUUCAGAUCAGAGCCUCUCUCCGAGAUAGCAUUAGAAUUGGAAGUGCAUUUUGUAUCUAUGGCAUUAGUAUCACAUUGUGUACAAACGGAGAGUUUACAAUUAUUUUACAUUUAUUGGUUUGCAUUGUAAUUACUGUGUGCUGCUCUUAUAUCUUCAGUGUAUUUUUAAGCAUCUUCCAGUAAUGUAAUAAUUAGAAAAUAACUUCAGUUAUUGUGAAAAAUGUGUUUAUUUUGCUAACUGAAAGAAUGGACAAAAGAAGUGCUUCAGUGGAAGUGCUCUUAUAAAAAUGGAAGGUAUUGCAGUUUUUCAGUGAGGUCUUUGUUGAGAACAUUGGGUAAGGGAGGUUGGCUUUUACAGUCUCUUUUGUCCAUCUUUGUGCAAUGUUAGAAUUUGCAGCUAAUUCUGAUGGCAGAAGAUUCUCCUGUGCUGGUGGCUGAGGAUGAUUUAGUAUCAUGUACAACCACAGGAAACUUCCCCAAGCCAUAGCUAGGAUUUUGAAUAACAGAAUGAGCCUUUGGUACUAAAAAACAAGUCCGCAGUACUAAGAAUACAGGAAAAGCUAUUAAAAUUUUGAACGUAAAAAGGGCCACUUGAUAAAAUCAGUAGCAAAUAAAAGAGGAAUGUAAAUGUAAUUUCAUCGAUUGAUUUCACUCCGUCUCUUUUUUCACGUUAAUAUAUUUUUGUCUCUUAACUCAUAACCACACAGUAAUUAAAAAAUGUAAGAAAAACUAACUUUUUACCACGCUAAUUAAACUGUAUGUCACAUAGGCAUUUGGGGAGAAUUUCCCAUGCUUUCCAGUGUGAAUGGAAGGAAAGAGCAGUGGUGCUCACUUUAAACUCGAUUUUUCUCUAGUACCUUGCAAAAAGGCUUCAUUGUAUUUUGAUUAAUCCAUGCUUGGUCCACCUCGAAUGUUUCCAUGGAAACAGUUUUUUUUUUUUUUUUUUUUUUUUUCCCCCUUGAUGGCAACUGUUAGGCUCGGGAAGGUUCCUCUCUGCACAAAACCAUUCCAGCUCCUAAAGAACUACAUGUUGGAAAUUUAAUAUACAUAAACAAAACUCCCAAAUUCCUCCUCAGUAUCAUUGUUGUCAGUGCUAAUAGAGAACUGUUUUCUUAAUGAUACACAAUGGUGCUCUUUCACUCCAGAAGAAAAUAGAAUAACCUUAUUAUUCUUCCUACUGCAAGAGAGCACUUUUCUUGGUCCAGAAAAAAAUUAGCCUGCAAACCUUUCAAAAUGAAAUUUUAAGAGUUCUGAUGUGUGAAUAUUAUCUAGUUCUGGGCAUAAAUCAUUCGGCUUAAUGGCUGUUAAAAUUGAAUUAAACUUGUCUUGUAGAUUGGUAGUAAUUUGAACAAAUUA
This is a long non-coding RNA of Oxyura jamaicensis (ruddy duck), 3888 nucleotides long. RefSeq lists it as uncharacterized. The transcript has 6 exons. Lineage: Eukaryota; Metazoa; Chordata; Aves; Anseriformes; Anatidae. The record is from RefSeq and is a predicted model, not a curated record.